CUCCUGGUGGUCCAGUGGUUAAGACUCUGCACUUCCAAUGCAGGGGACACAGGUUCGAUCUCUGGUCAGGGAA
Molecule: transfer RNA, 73 nt
Filed under: Bos taurus (domestic cattle)
Lineage: Eukaryota; Metazoa; Chordata; Mammalia; Artiodactyla; Bovidae
Also listed under: 4 other names
Rfam family: tRNA
About the family: Transfer RNA (tRNA) molecules are approximately 80 nucleotides in length. Their secondary structure includes four short double-helical elements and three loops (D, anti-codon, and T loops).
Source: Rfam by way of RNAcentral